UGGCCAGACUCCUACGGGAGGCAGCAGUGGGGGAUAUUGCACAAUGGGGGAAACCCUGAUGCAGCGACGCCGCGUGGGCGAAGAAGUAUUUCGGUAUGUAAAGCCCUAUCAGCAGGGAAGAAGAAAUGACGGUACCUGAGUAAGAAGCACCGGCUAAAUACGUGCCAGCAGCCGCGGUAAUACGUAGGGGGCAAGCGUUAUCCGGAUUUACUGGGUGUAAAGGGAGCGUAGACGGCAUAGCAAGUCUGAAGUGAAAGCCCAAGGCUCAACCAUGGGACUGCUCUUGGAACUGCGCGGCUGGAGUGCAGGAGGGGCAGGCGGAAUUCCUGGUGUAGCGGUGAAAUGCGUAGAUAUUAGGAGGAACACCAGUGGCGAAGGCGGCCUGCUGGACGGUGUACUGACGCUGAGGCUCGAAAGCGUGGGGAGCAAACAGGAUUAGAUACCCCAGUAU
RNAcentral lists this ribosomal RNA (451 nucleotides) under uncultured bacterium. RNAcentral's name for it is "partial 16S ribosomal RNA". It matches the Rfam family "Bacterial small subunit ribosomal RNA", at positions 328 to 793 of the family's 1533-position model. The record is from RNAcentral.